CAUAGGAUUGCAAGCCUAAGAAUGUCAUUUCAGUGCUCCAGGUGUACCUACCUCCUGGUAGCUGUUUGCAGAGGACAAGAGAGCUGAGGGCUGGCCGGGUGUGGUGGCUCAUGCCUGUAAUCCCAGCACUUUGGAAGGCCAAGGUGGGCCUCACUUGAGGUGAGGAGUUUGAGACCAGUCUAGCCAAUAUGGUGAAACCCCAUCUCUACUAAAAAUACAAAAAUUAUCCAGGCAUGGUUGUGCACACUUGUAAUCCCAACUACUUGGGAGGCUGAGGCACGCUCCAGGUCGUAUUUUCUGGAAGCAAAUGAAUAUCACGCUCCUGCCCAAUCAUAACAGUCACUUAAUUUACUCUUUCCAAUUUUUUAGCUGUCUGCAAGAAAUCACACUCAGGAGGCAAAGGAGGUGAUUAUACAGAACUAGAAGGCACAGGACGGCCAUUCAGUCCAGUCCAUACUUUUUGUGGCUGGGCUUUAGCCAUACCUCAUUUCCUCCUCCAUCAAUCAAGGCAACAAAAUUGCCUUCAUUUUUGUAACAAGCAUUUAGCAUUCUUAUGCUGUAGAUAAAAUACACAGGAAGCCAAGGCCAGGUGCGGUGGCUCACACCUGUAAUCCCAGCACUUUGGGAGGCCGAGGCAGGCAGAUCACCUGAGGUCAGGAGUUCAAGACCAACAUGGCAAAACCCCACCUCUACUAAAAAUAUAAAAAUUAGCUGGGCGUGGU
RNAcentral lists this long non-coding RNA (722 nucleotides) under Homo sapiens (human). RNAcentral describes it as "HSALNT0273283". The record is from RNAcentral. Lineage: Eukaryota; Metazoa; Chordata; Mammalia; Primates; Hominidae.